This is a long non-coding RNA of Platichthys flesus (European flounder), 574 nucleotides long. RefSeq lists it as uncharacterized. The transcript is spliced from 3 exons. The record is from RefSeq and is a predicted model, not a curated record. Lineage: Eukaryota; Metazoa; Chordata; Actinopteri; Pleuronectiformes; Pleuronectidae.
CUUCCACUUCUGCAGGGAGAGAGAAACGGGAAACUGUCAGUCGGCUGCACGGCUUCACAUUGACGUCCUCACGCCUCCUCUGGUUUGCCGCACGGCCGGCACACAUCAGCGACGUGUAUCGGCACAUGGGGUUCGUGUUAGUAAAAUAAGAAAACUGAAGGGAGCUGGGAUUGAUAAAAAAAGAAUAACACAUUACACGAUGACGACGUAAAGAAAUGAGUCAUACAAACACAUGACAUAUGUAAGUCAUUAAUUUUCACCCUUAAGCAAAGCUCCAUGCGAUGUCCUCCAUAUACUCAUGUGAGUGUAUUAAUUGUGUUUGGUUGUGAGUUUGCAGGAUAACGCAAAACCUACCACACAGAUUUUCAUGAAACUUGGUGGAAGGAUGCAGGACGGAUGAGGAAAGAACCCAGAACAGUUUGGUGCAGAUCCACAUCAGGGUUUGAAGUGUGCGACCCAGACUCUGCGCCUCCUGAGAGUCCUGACCUGUGACUGUGGCCGGCUGCCUCCGAGGCCCCUGCACUCUGCCAGGCCCAGGACGUCGCUCCCACGGGUCUCCAGACACAAACCGCCU